This 448-nucleotide ribosomal RNA is filed under the name uncultured bacterium. RNAcentral's name for it is "bacterial SSU rRNA". It matches the Rfam family "Bacterial small subunit ribosomal RNA", at positions 355 to 825 of the family's 1533-position model. The record is from RNAcentral.
UCGGGAAUUUUGCGCAAUGGGCGAAAGCCUGACGCAGCCAUGCCGCGUGAAUGAUGAAGGUCUUAGGAUUGUAAAGUUCUUUCGCUCGUGACGAUGAUGACGGUAACGAGAGAAGAAGCCCCGGCUAACUUCGUGCCAGCAGCCGCGGUAAUACGAAGGGGGCUAGCGUUGUUCGGAAUUACUGGGCGUAAAGCGCGCGUAGGCGGUUUUGCAAGCCAGAGGUGAAAUGCCUGAGCUCAACUUAGGAAUUGCCUUUGGGACUGCGAGGCUUUGAGGACGAGAGAGGUGAGUGGAAUUCCCAGUGUAGAGGUGAAAUUCGUAGAUAUUGGGAAGAACACCGGUGGCGAAGGCGGCUCACUGGCUCGUUUCUGACGCUGUAGCGCGAAAGCGUGGGGAUCAAACAGGAUUAGAUACCCCAGUAGUCCCUGAGCGGGCUGGCAAGGCGCAU